AAAAGAUGAUACAUUAAUGGAGAGGGGGGAAGGGGAAAUCUUCUCAAACGUCCUCUUCCUCCUUAAAGUCCAUAAGGUGAUAGUCUCUGAGCAGACUGACAGUCUGCAACAGUCCUCAGUGGACAUCCUCUCCCUCCGGAGGGUGAGGCGCUUCCUUGCGCACCAAAUAGCGUCCUUGAAGCAACACAUCACCCGCCAAGCGCCUCCGAUUUCUUCUUC
This is a long non-coding RNA of Nanorana parkeri, 219 nucleotides long. RefSeq lists it as uncharacterized. Lineage: Eukaryota; Metazoa; Chordata; Amphibia; Anura; Dicroglossidae. The record is from RefSeq and is a predicted model, not a curated record. The transcript has 3 exons.